UCGAAGACAAAAUAGACGACAUGGAAAAUUCUUCGUGUAUUCUGCUCCAAAAAACUUCGAGUUUUCACCGGAGUUCUGAAGGAAAACUGCUGGAAAAGUGUAAUGAAAGGCGUCUCUAAAGAGAUCUACCCAUGAAGAUGUCCAAGACUGGCCUGUGAUAAUGGAGUUUUAGGUUUGAGUAAGUCUUCGAUCUUUAAGAGAUAUCUACCCAUCAACAAUAUAGAUGUCCAAGACUGUACUAUGGUUAAGGAGCUGCUCUUCAGUGAGAGUAAGGCUUACCAUCUCAAAAGAGAUCUACCCUCAACAAGUCGAUGCCAAUGUCUGGUCUAUAAAGGAACGGAAAACUUUUCCAAGAGUUAAGCUUACCAUCUCCAGGUAUACCUAUCGACAAGCCUGGCCCACAAUAAACGAGCGUCAGUACUCUUCAGUGAGCUCCAGUCUCCCAAAGAUCAAAAUGUCUGAGACCCACUUAUCAUCAUACGUAACCUGGCAUAAAGAACAACCUUCUCUGUGAACAGGAAGGCUUCCGACGUUCCACAUGGAAAAAUACACUUCACUGUUAUUUGAGCAGUCCUAGCGUUACCUUAUUUUCUCGUGCUUUAGAAAAUCAGUUUUGUUAAUUAUUA
Asterias rubens (European starfish) is the source of this 626-nucleotide long non-coding RNA. RefSeq lists it as uncharacterized. The transcript is spliced from 7 exons. The record is from RefSeq and is a predicted model, not a curated record. Lineage: Eukaryota; Metazoa; Echinodermata; Asteroidea; Forcipulatida; Asteriidae.